GUGCUUACCUGGCAAGGGAGAUACCUGACCAGGAAGGUGGUUUUCCAGGGCAAGGCUCACCCGUUGUUCUCAUGUGCCUAUGCCUGCGAUUUCUCCACGUUCAAGAGUUUCAGCUGCGCUGCUUGUGGUAGUAAGGGCUGCAUUCACACUCUCCUUC
Small nuclear RNA from Mastomys coucha (southern multimammate mouse), 157 nucleotides. RefSeq annotates it as U1 spliceosomal RNA. The record is from RefSeq and is a predicted model, not a curated record. The transcript has a single exon. Lineage: Eukaryota; Metazoa; Chordata; Mammalia; Rodentia; Muridae.